GACGAACGCUGGCGGCGUGCCUAAUACAUGCAAGUCGAACGCAGUGGGGACGGGUGAGUAACACCUGGUUAACCUGCCAUCAACAGUGAUAACACUUGGAAAAAGGUGCUAAACCGAUCCUGAUGGAUGUACCCGCGGUUCAUUAGCUAGUUGGUGAGGAAACGGCUCACCAAGGCCACGAUGCAUAGCCGGCCUGAGAGGGUGACCGGCAACAAUGGGACUGAGACACGGCCCAGACUCCUACGGGAGGCAGCAGUAGGGAAUCUGAGGCAAUGGACGAAAGUCUGACCGAGCCACGCCGCGUGAGUGAAGAAGGUUAUCGGAUCGUAAAACUCUGUUGUUAGAGAAGCGGUAUCUAACCAGAAAGCAACGGCUAACUACGUGCCAGCAGCCGCGGUAAUUC
Molecule: ribosomal RNA, 403 nt
Filed under: uncultured bacterium
Lineage: Bacteria
Description: partial 16S ribosomal RNA
Rfam family: Bacterial small subunit ribosomal RNA
Source: RNAcentral